CACUACUUUCUCCUUCUAUUAUAUUUGUAAAUGGUGAAUAGCAAAAUUGACAUUAGGUUGCUAUCAUACAUAAAUGAUGUACUUUUUUGAAACUUUUCCUGCAGUCUAAAAUCUUCAAGAGACUCUUCCUCGCCGGAAACCGCCACCGGAACAACCAUCGGCAGCAACCUCUCAUCAUGGCUGCCAAAUUUUGUCACAGGAGAUUCUUCAAGAACCAUGCCAAAUUUUGCCUUGCAUUUUACUCUUUUUGUAACCUUUUUCAUACUCCUUUUUCUUUACAUAUAAUUCACAAACACUUUACACUUCACAUUCACGUCAUAGUCACAUUGCUAGCAAGGCCAAUGUAAAUACAUAUUGUAAAGCACAAUUUUCCAAGACGUUUGUAUAGAAGCCUAAAUUAUUUCAAAUUUUGUUUUGCUUUGCAAUGAAUUUGUCCAUUAUGAUUAGUGGGUGCUCCUUAACAAAGAUUGUCAAUUGUAUGAUCUUUGCUACAAAAUAUAUAUUAUGGGAUCAUAUUGUCUUACAUGUGGACCCUCUAUUGUUUAGAUAAUAAUAUAUAUUCGAGGCUCGAAAAAUGCUUCAUGUUAAAUUGAUCCACACGCGUCUUUCUUAAUGUGUUAACGGGAUUAUGUCAUUCUCAUGAACAAGAGUUUAUUUAAUUUUAUGUAAUAUAUAUUCAAACUAUUUUAAUUAAUUUUCUUUUGAUUUAUGCUCAAU
RNAcentral lists this long non-coding RNA (717 nucleotides) under Olea europaea subsp. europaea. The record is from RNAcentral. Lineage: Eukaryota; Viridiplantae; Streptophyta; Magnoliopsida; Lamiales; Oleaceae.